GGAUAGCUCAGUUGGUAGAACAUGAAAAUCUUAAUCCCAGGGUCAUGGGUUCGAGCCCCAUGUGGAGCA
Molecule: non-coding RNA, 69 nt
Organism: Podarcis lilfordi (Lilford's wall lizard)
Lineage: Eukaryota; Metazoa; Chordata; Lepidosauria; Squamata; Lacertidae
Source: the annotation of a GenBank genome assembly